RNAcentral lists this ribosomal RNA (488 nucleotides) under uncultured Syntrophorhabdus sp. Its description in RNAcentral is "bacterial SSU rRNA". It matches the Rfam family "Bacterial small subunit ribosomal RNA", at positions 897 to 1382 of the family's 1533-position model. Lineage: Bacteria; Pseudomonadati; Thermodesulfobacteriota; Syntrophorhabdia; Syntrophorhabdales; Syntrophorhabdaceae. The record is from RNAcentral.
AAACUCAAAGGAAUUGACGGGGCCCGCACAAGCGGUGGAGCAUGUGGUUUAAUUCGACGCAACGCGAAAAACCUUACCUGGGUUUGACAUGCCGAGUACCCGAUGGAAACAUUGGGGUGCCCCGUAAGGGGAACUUGGACACAGGUGCUGCAUGGCUGUCGUCAGCUCGUGCCGUGAGGUGUUGGGUUAAGUCCCGCAACGAGCGCAACCCUCACCCUUAGUUGCCAUCAUUAAGUUGGGCACCCUAAGGGAACUGCCGCAGUUAAUGCGGAGGAAGGUGGGGAUGACGUCAAGUCCUCAUGGCCCUUAUAUCCAGGGCUACACACGUGCUACAAUGGGCGGUACAAAGGGUCGCGAACCUGUAAGGGGGAGCUAACCCCAGAAAACCGUUCUCAGUUCGGAUUGGAGUCUGCAACCCGACUCCAUGAAGUUGGAAUCGCUAGUAAUCGCGGAUCAGAACGCCGCGGUCGAAUACGUUCCCGGGCCUU